Molecule: ribosomal RNA, 515 nt
Filed under: Anomala balzapambae
Lineage: Eukaryota; Metazoa; Arthropoda; Insecta; Coleoptera; Scarabaeidae
Description: partial 16S ribosomal RNA
Rfam family: Bacterial large subunit ribosomal RNA
Source: RNAcentral
GUCUUUUUGAUUAUAAUUUAAAGUCUAACCUGCCCAAUGAGGAUUUGAAUGGCCGCGGUAAUUUGACCGUGCAAAGGUAGCAUAAUAAUUAGUUUUUUAAUUGAAAGCUGGAAUGAAUGGUUGGACGAGAAAAUAACUGUCUCAAUUUAAAUGAAUAUAGAAUUUUAUUUAUAAGUAAAAAAGCUUAUAUAGUUUUAAAAGACGAGAAGACCCUAUAGAGUUUUAUAUUUUAUUAUAUUAAUUAAUUUUAGUAUAUUUAUAUUUUUAAUAUAGUAACAUAUUUUGCUGGGGCAGCAGAAAAAUUAAGUAAACUUUUUUUUAUUAGUAUAACAUUGAUUUAUGAUUUAAUGAUCCAUUUUUUAUGAUUACAAGAUUAAAUUACCUUAGGGAUAACAGCGUAAUUUUUUUUUAGAGUUCUUAUCGAAAAAAGAGUUUGCGACCUCGAUGUUGGAUUAAAAUUAACUUUUGGUGUAGGGGCUAAAAGGUUAGGUCUGUUCGACCUUUAAAAUUUUACA